Molecule: unclassified non-coding RNA, 335 nt
Filed under: Hevea brasiliensis (rubber tree)
Lineage: Eukaryota; Viridiplantae; Streptophyta; Magnoliopsida; Malpighiales; Euphorbiaceae
Source: RNAcentral
AGUUAGCCAGCUGAAGAGACCACCUGAAGAAGAUGAUUGCAAAGCAGCAGCACUUGAACUUGCAAAUCUUGCAGGCAACUUACUGAUUCUAUGGCCCUUGAAAGCCCUAACAUGUGAAGCUGCAGCUCUGUACAUGGCUGAUAAUUGUUUGUGAAACCCUAGAUUGUGCGGGAAGGACGCCCUGGUUUUAGACCGAGAUGAGAAGUCUUACGGUGUUUCUUUCUCUGCACUCAGUACUGGAGCUAGAGAGCUGUGAUUUUUUGACCUGUGGUACAGUGGACAUGAAAGAAUAACCAGGACCGCCCGAUUAUUGGUUCUCCGUCAUUGAAUUGUUU